UUUUUGCCAAGCCAAAGCAUUAAUCUUAUUGGACAUGCAUGGAGGUUGUGGAAUGAGGGAAUCCCACUUGAAUUCUCCGAUAAACAUUUGGGGGAGUCUUGCAUUGAAUCAGAAGCAUUACGAUGCAUCCAUGUCGGUCUUCUUUGUGUGCAAUACCAUGCUAAUGAUAGGCCAAACAUGACAUCUGUUGUUAUAAUGUUGAGUAGUGAAGGUGUCUUACCUGAACCUAAAGAAGCUGGUUUACUUUUAGAAAAUAUCCCAAUUAAGAGAGAAUCUCCUAAUAGUCGUACAAAUCUUUCAAGUAAUAAAGUAUCUAUCACCUUGUUAGAAGCCAGGUAAGGUCAAUUUUACUUUGAUUUUGGACCGCUAAUGAGAGUACUCUUAAGGAAAAGACUGUAUUUGCAAUAGUGAAAGAUAUUGUUGAUUCUAAAUA
Long non-coding RNA from Neltuma alba, 433 nucleotides. RefSeq lists it as uncharacterized. Lineage: Eukaryota; Viridiplantae; Streptophyta; Magnoliopsida; Fabales; Fabaceae. The transcript is spliced from 2 exons. The record is from RefSeq and is a predicted model, not a curated record.